AUUAGUGGCGAACGGGUGAGUAACACGUGAGUAACCUGCCCUUAACUCUGGGAUAAGCCUGGGAAACUGGGUCUAAUACCGGAUAUGACUCCUCAUCGCAUGGUGGGGGGUGGAAAGCUUUUUGUGGUUUUGGAUGGACUCGCGGCCUAUCAGCUUGUUGGUGAGGUAAUGGCUCACCAAGGCGACGACGGGUAGCCGGCCUGAGAGGGUGACCGGCCACACUGGGACUGAGACACGGCCCAGACUCCUACGGGAGGCAGCAGUGGGGAAUAUUGCACAAUGGGCGCAAGCCUGAUGCAGCGACGCCGCGUGAGGGAUGACGGCCUUCGGGUUGUAAACCUCUUUCAGUAGGGAAGAAGCGAAAGUGACGGUACCUGCAGAAGAAGCGCCGGCUAACUACGUGCCAGCAGCCGCGGUAAUACGUAGGGCGCAAGCGUUAUCCGGAAUUAUUGGGCGUAAAGAGCUCGUAGGCGGUUUGUCGCGUCUGCCGUGAAAGUCCGGGGCUCAACUCCGGAUCUGCGGUGGGUACGGGCAGACUAGAGUGAUGUAGGGGAGACUGGAAUUCCUGGUGUAGCGGUGAAAUGCGCAGAUAUCAGGAGGAACACCGAUGGCGAAGGCAGGUCUCUGGGCAUUAACUGACGCUGAGGAGCGAAAGCAUGGGGAGCGAACAGGAUUAGAUACCCUGGUAGUCCAUGCCGUAAACGUUGGGCACUAGGUGUGGGGGACAUUCCACGUUUUCCGCGCCGUAGCUAACGCAUUAAGUGCCCCGCCUGGGGAGUACGGCCGCAAGGCUAAAACUC
RNAcentral lists this ribosomal RNA (800 nucleotides) under Arthrobacter pascens. Its description in RNAcentral is "bacterial SSU rRNA". It matches the Rfam family "Bacterial small subunit ribosomal RNA", at positions 91 to 902 of the family's 1533-position model. The record is from RNAcentral. Lineage: Bacteria; Bacillati; Actinomycetota; Actinomycetes; Micrococcales; Micrococcaceae.